RNAcentral lists this ribosomal RNA (354 nucleotides) under uncultured bacterium. RNAcentral's name for it is "bacterial SSU rRNA". It matches the Rfam family "Bacterial small subunit ribosomal RNA", at positions 29 to 405 of the family's 1533-position model. The record is from RNAcentral.
AGCGAACGCUGGCGGCAGGCCUAACACAUGCAAGUCGAGCGGCCGUAGCAAUACGGCAGCGGCAGACGGGAGAGUAACACGUGGGAACGCGCCCUUCGGUUCGGAAUAACUCAGGGAAACUUGAGCUAAUACCGGAUACGCCCUAACAGGGAAAGAUUUAUUGCCGAAGGAACGGCCCGCGUCCGAUUAGCUAGUUGGUGAGGUAACGGCUCACCAAGGCGACGAUCGGUAGCUGGUCUGAGAGGAUGACCAGCCUCAUUGGGACUGAGACACGGCCCAAACUCCUACGGGAGGCAGCAGUGGGGAAGUAUUGGACAAUAGGGCGGCAAGCCUGAUCCAGCCAUGCCGCGUGGA